UACAGGGGGGGCAAGCGUUGUUCGGAAUUACUGGGCGUAAAGGGCUCGUAGGCGGCCAAUUAAGUCCGACGUGAAAUCCCCAGGCUUAACCUGGGAACUGCGUCGGAUACUGAUUGGCUUGAAUCCGGGAGAGGGAUGCGGAAUUCCAGGUGUAGCGGUGAAAUGCGCAGAUAUCGGGAGGAACACCAAUGGCGAAGGCAGCUCGCUGGGACGGUACUGACGCUGAGGAGCGAAAGCGUGGGGAGCGAACAGG
RNAcentral lists this ribosomal RNA (253 nucleotides) under uncultured bacterium. RNAcentral describes it as "partial 16S ribosomal RNA". It matches the Rfam family "Bacterial small subunit ribosomal RNA", at positions 524 to 776 of the family's 1533-position model. The record is from RNAcentral.